UCUCUGGAGGAUUAGUGGUUAGGCUUUGGCACUCUCACCACCAUGGCCUGGGUUUGAUUCCUGGCCAGGGAA
Pangasianodon gigas (Mekong giant catfish) is the source of this 72-nucleotide non-coding RNA. The record is from the annotation of a GenBank genome assembly. Lineage: Eukaryota; Metazoa; Chordata; Actinopteri; Siluriformes; Pangasiidae.